Molecule: small nucleolar RNA, 92 nt
Organism: Ipomoea triloba (trilobed morning glory)
Lineage: Eukaryota; Viridiplantae; Streptophyta; Magnoliopsida; Solanales; Convolvulaceae
Source: RefSeq, a predicted model, not a curated record
GAGAUGCAAUGAAGAUAAUAAAUCAGCUUUAACGCCAGUUCUGCUUCUGAAUGUCAUUGAUUGAAAGAGCUGUUUAUUUUUCUGAGCAUCAC